UUCAACUUUAAAUGAUCCGCGACCAUGCCGUCACUGCGCGUCACUCCCAGAUAACCUAAAAUGGGCAAACAGGCGGGUAGUGGUGCUGAGGUGAGGUGAGCUGAGGUGGAUGGUUGCUGAAACCCUGCCUGCCUAGUUCGACAUGACCGAGUUAGCUCAGGCUAAGGAGCUAAUGCUAUAUGCUACUCUGCGUUAACAGAAGUAACUUCUACCUGGGUCUUGUCUGGUUGGAGGUUGGUAGCCUGUGGCCACAUCGUUACCAGCUUAUCCUGAAGUCAAAGUGUGGAUCCGAUAUCCCACCUGGUGCCAGACAGCUGCAGAGAUCUGGAACUCAUCCUCACUGUGCUGGAUGUCUGUACCUGAUGAUGUGGACUGACGUGGAAAGGCCUUCUCCCCUUCUGUUCACUUUUACAUUUAGUUUUAAAUGUUGUCCAUAGGUGUUUUUACACACAACUUUGAGGACGUUAUCUCUUAACUUCUCAGGAAAUAAGGACCUGAAUCUGUGGAGGCCAGCCAUUAUUAAACAUCUGUAAUCAACUGCAGCUUCUUCCACUCUAACUAACUGAGAUGUGAUGGUGAACCACAUUCAGAGCAUCCAUGAACACAGCACGCUGGAACCAGUUACGACAUAACUUAUACGCAUACGCAUCAGCCCUCAUGGAGUCCACUGCACCUGCUUAGCAGAUCGGCCAAAAGAUCCUCAUGGAUGGAUCACAUACAGGCUAUGGGAUGGAUGAGGCAGUCAGCCUUUAGCACAGGACAUAAAUGUGAAACCAGCACAGAAGUCUUGGUUCACGGUUUUCAGGUUAAGAUCUUUAUUAAUGAAGGCAAAGCCAGAUCAGUCCUACAAUUAAUAUUAUCUUCAGCCAAAGACAUACUCAGUCACAUUUGUCUAUUUGUAAGAUAUUUAAAAAACAUCUCUAAAAGAGAGAUUUUAUCUGGUAAACAAAUCAAUGGACAAAUCUCAGCCAACGCUUGAGGUGUGACUUUUGUUGUUCUCAGCACUGAAAGGAAGUAUUUUGUUUUGU
Micropterus dolomieu (smallmouth bass) is the source of this 1028-nucleotide long non-coding RNA. RefSeq lists it as uncharacterized. Lineage: Eukaryota; Metazoa; Chordata; Actinopteri; Centrarchiformes; Centrarchidae. The transcript is spliced from 4 exons. The record is from RefSeq and is a predicted model, not a curated record.